Molecule: ribosomal RNA, 253 nt
Filed under: uncultured bacterium
Lineage: Bacteria
Description: partial 16S ribosomal RNA
Rfam family: Bacterial small subunit ribosomal RNA
Source: RNAcentral
UACGUAGGGGGCAAGCGUUAUCCGGAUUUACUGGGUGUAAAGGGGGCGCAGACGGCGCGGCAAGUCCGGAGUGAAAUCCCAGGGCCCGACCCUGGGGCUGCUCUGGAAACUGCCGGGCUGGAGUGCUGGAGGGGCAGGCGGAAUUCCUAGUGUAGCGGUGAAAUGCGUAGAUAUUAGGAGGAACACCGGUGGCGAAGGCGGCCUGCUGGACAGCGACUGACGUUGAGGCCCGAAAGCGUGGGGAGCAAACAGG